This 95-nucleotide microRNA precursor is filed under the name Marmota monax (woodchuck). The stretch from base 14 to 90 matches the Rfam family "mir-628 microRNA precursor family". The record is from RNAcentral. Lineage: Eukaryota; Metazoa; Chordata; Mammalia; Rodentia; Sciuridae.
AUAGCUGUUGUGUCACUUCCUCAUGCUGACAUAUUUACUAGAGGGUGAAAUUAAUAACCUUCUAGUAAGAGUGGCAGUGGAAGGGAAGGGCUCAU